Molecule: ribosomal RNA, 164 nt
Filed under: Haplocarpha rueppellii
Lineage: Eukaryota; Viridiplantae; Streptophyta; Magnoliopsida; Asterales; Asteraceae
Description: 5.8S ribosomal RNA
Rfam family: 5.8S ribosomal RNA
About the family: 5.8S ribosomal RNA (5.8S rRNA) is a component of the large subunit of the eukaryotic ribosome. It is transcribed by RNA polymerase I as part of the 45S precursor that also contains 18S and 28S rRNA.
Source: RNAcentral
AAACGACUCUCGGCAACGGAUAUCUCGGCUCACGCAUCGAUGAAGAACGUAGCAAAAUGCGAUACUUGGUGUGAAUUGCAGAAUCCCGUGAACCAUCGAGUUUUUGAACGCAAGUUGCGCCCGAGGCCAUUCGGCCAAGGGCACGUCUGCCUGGGCGUCACACA